UGGGGAAUAUUGGACAAUGGGCGCAAGCCUGAUCCAGCCAUACCGCGUGGGUGAAGAAGGCCUUCGGGUUGUAAAGCCCUUUUGUUGGGAAAGAAAUCCAGCCGGCUAAUACCUGGUUGGGAUGACGGUACCCAAAGAAUAAGCACCGGCUAACUUCGUGCCAGCAGCCGCGGUAAUACGAAGGGUGCAAGCGUUACUCGGAAUUACUGGGCGUAAAGCGUGCGUAGGUGGUCGUUUAAGUCCGUUGUGAAAGCCCUGGGCUCAACCUGGGAACUGCAGUGGAUACUGGGCGACUAGAGUGUGGUAGAGGGUAGCGGAAUUCCUGGUGUAGCAGUGAAAUGCGUAGAGAUCAGGAGGAACAUCCAUGGCGAAGGCAGCUACCUGGACCAACACUGACACUGAGGCACG
RNAcentral lists this ribosomal RNA (408 nucleotides) under uncultured bacterium. RNAcentral's name for it is "bacterial SSU rRNA". It matches the Rfam family "Bacterial small subunit ribosomal RNA", at positions 355 to 755 of the family's 1533-position model. The record is from RNAcentral.